Molecule: unclassified non-coding RNA, 238 nt
Filed under: rhizosphere metagenome
Description: partial ribosomal RNA internal transcribed spacer region
Source: RNAcentral
GUAGGUGAACCUGCGGAAGGAUCAUUAACGAAUUGUCAUUAGAAGUUGAUGCUGGCGGGUUUAUCCCGUAUGUGCUCGCUUCUAACAAUUUAUCCAUACACCUGUGCACUGAUUUCAGGGAGGACCGGUCAAACGGGAAUCCUUGAAUUUUUACAUACUCAUAUUUAAAUUUGAACGUGAAUGUGCCGCAAGGCCUUAAUUAAAUAAACAACUUUUAACAACGGAUCUCUUGGCUCUC